RNAcentral lists this ribosomal RNA (207 nucleotides) under uncultured bacterium. RNAcentral's name for it is "partial 16S ribosomal RNA". It matches the Rfam family "Bacterial small subunit ribosomal RNA", at positions 568 to 774 of the family's 1533-position model. The record is from RNAcentral.
CGCGUAGGCGGUUUAGUAAGUCGGAUGUGAAAUCCCCGGGCUUAACCUGGGAACUGCAUUCGAUACUGCUUGACUAGAGUAUGGUAGAGGGAAGUGGAAUUCCGGGUGUAGCGGCGAAAUGCGUAGAUAUCCGGAGGAACACCAGUGGCGAAGGCGACUUCCUGGGCCAAUACUGACGCUGAGGUGCGAAAGCGUGGGGAGCAAACA